Molecule: ribosomal RNA, 393 nt
Filed under: uncultured bacterium
Lineage: Bacteria
Description: bacterial SSU rRNA
Rfam family: Bacterial small subunit ribosomal RNA
Source: RNAcentral
GAUGAACGCUGGCGGCGUGCUUAACACAUGCAAGUCGAACGAAGAUGCCGGAGUGCUUGCACUUUGGCAGACUGAGUGGCGGACGGGUGAGUAACGCGUGGGUAACCUGCCCUUAUACAGGGGGAUAACAGUUGGAAACGACUGCUAAUACCGCAUAAGCGCACGGUAUCGCAUGAUACAGUGUGAAAAACUCCGGUGGUAUAAGAUGGACCCGCGUCUGAUUAGCUUGUUGGUGAGGUAACGGCCCACCAAGGCGACGAUCAGUAGCCGGCCUGAGAGGGUGACCGGCCACAUUGGGACUGAGACACGGCCCAAAAUCCUACGGGAGCAGGCAAGUGGGGAAUAGUUGCACAAUGGGGGAAACCCUGAUGCAGCGACGCCGCGUGAGCGAAG